This 160-nucleotide non-coding RNA is filed under the name Candidatus Eubacterium avistercoris. The record is from RNAcentral. Lineage: Bacteria; Bacillati; Bacillota; Clostridia; Eubacteriales; Eubacteriaceae.
UGAGGUUCUUGUGUUUUCUUCCACAAGCUAAGAGAGAAGAGGAGUGAAAUUCUCCCACGGUCACGCCGCUGUAAUGGAGGAGCAGGAUUUUUUUACGUCACUGGAAGUCCGGGAAGGCAAAAUCCUGCAAAGAUACCUGAGUCAGAAGACCUGCCCAUUU